This 576-nucleotide small RNA is filed under the name Pongo abelii (Sumatran orangutan). RNAcentral describes it as "retained intron". The record is from RNAcentral. Lineage: Eukaryota; Metazoa; Chordata; Mammalia; Primates; Hominidae.
GUGCGACGGCUGAGGUCUCUACCAUGGCGGCCCGGCUUGUGAGCCGAUGCGGAGCUGUGCGUGCAGCUCCCCACAGCGGCCCGCUGGUGUCCUGCUGCAGGUGGUCCGGCGCCUCAACAGACACCGUGUAUGACGUGGUGGUGUCGGGUGGAGGCCUGGUGGGCGCUGCCAUGGCCUGUGCCUUGGGAUAUGAUAUUCACUUUCAUGACAAGAAAAUCCUGUUACUCGAAGCAGGUCCAAAGAAAGUAUUGGAGAAAUUGUCAGAAACUUACAGCAACAGGGUCAGCUCCAUUUCCCCUGGCUCUGCAACGCUUCUCAGUAGUUUUGGUGCCUGGGACCAUAUCUGCAACAUGAGAUACAGAGCCUUUCGGCGAAUGCAGGUGUGGGACGCCUGCUCAGAGGCCCUGAUAAUGUUUGAUAAGGAUAAUUUAGAUGAUAUGGGCUAUAUCGUGGAGAAUGAUGUCAUCAUGCAUGCUCUCACUAAGCAGCUGGAGGCUGUGUCUGGUGAGGCCCCCAUCUUCUAUCUUGCAUUCAUUGGGAAGUGAACUGCUUAGGACUUACUGGAAGAAAGGAUCU